CGCGGGAUUGGCGGGCGGGGCGGGCACGAGGGGACGGGGCGCAGCAGGCGCGAAACCUUUACAAUGCACGAAAGUGUGAUAAGGGGAUCCUAAGUGCUCAUGCUUCGGCAUGGGCUUUUUUCAAGAGUAAAUAUCUUGGAGAAUAAGUGGUGGGUAAGACUGGUGCCAGCCGCCGCGGUAACACCAGCGCCACGAGUGGCAACCGCGUUUAUUGGGCCUAAAGCGUCCGUAGCCGGUUGAAUAAAUCUUUUGUGAAAUCGUCAGGCUUAACUUGACGGCAGGCAGAAGACACUAUUCAACUCGAGACCGGGAGGGGUCAAAGGUAUUCCUGAGGGAGCGGUAAAAUGUGAUAAUCUCAGGAGGAUCACCUAUGGCGAAGGCAUUUGACCAGAACGGUUCUGACGGUGAGGGACGAAGGCUGGGGGAGCGAUCCGGAUUAGAUACCCGAGUAGUCCCAGCAGUAAACUCUGUGAGCAAGAUGUUGCAUAUCCUUGAGGAUGUGCAGUGUCGAAACGAAGGUGUUAAGCUCACCGCCUGGGAAGUACGGUCGCAAGACUGAAACUUUAAGGAAUUGGCGGGGGAGCACCACAAGGGGUGCGGCGUGCGGUUUAAUCUAACUCAACGCAGAGAACCUUACUAGAAGCGACGGCAGGAAGAAGGCCUGGCUGAAGACCAUGCUUGACGAGCCGAGAGGUAGUGCAUGGCCGCCGUCAGCUCGUGCUGUAAAGUGUCCAGUUAAGUCUGGCAACGAGCGAGACCUAUACCCUCUAUUGCUAACGGCAACAUGUUGGACCGAGCACUUUGAGGGGACUGCCUUGGAAACAAGGAGGAAGGUGUAGGCAACGGUAGGUCUGUAUGCUCCGAAUCUUCUAGGCUACACGCGCGCAACAAUGGUAGUGACAAUGGGUCGCAACUCCGAAAGGAGAAGCUAAUCCUCCAAACAUUACCCCAGUUCGGAUCGUGGGUUGUAACUCACCCACGUGACGCCGGAAUCCCUAGUAAUCAGACGUCAUCAUCGUCUGGUGAAUAUGUCCCUGCUCCUUGCACGAGUUCACCGAAUCACUAGU
This 1067-nucleotide ribosomal RNA is filed under the name uncultured crenarchaeote. RNAcentral describes it as "bacterial SSU rRNA". It matches the Rfam family "Archaeal small subunit ribosomal RNA", at positions 275 to 1478 of the family's 1478-position model. Lineage: Archaea; Thermoproteati; Thermoproteota. The record is from RNAcentral.